AACCAUCCACAAGCAUUGUCAAGCCUUGGCAACAUAUAUAUACAUGGAUUGGUAAGCUUUAGAAAUGUUUGAUGACAACUGUGCGGAUAGUUUAUUUUUGUUCCUUAAUGAAACUUCUCUUCAUGCAGUAAUAUGAUGAGUGUUGUUGCAUCAUUCUAUAAGGCAAUUUUAGCAGUUACAACAGGGAUAUCUGUGCCCUUCAACAACUUGGCUAUUAUAUACAAGCAACAGAGACUAUGCUUUGCAUCGGAAGUGAAUGGCAUCGUUAUCCUUCUUCAUUUUUUAUGCCUUCGUACAUUAAGGAAGUUCAAUGGAUAAAUGAAGGAUUUAGGGGUCUUCUCCCAUAUCCUUUUAAUUCAAGUUUGGGAGGCAUGACAACUACCCCACCUUAUUUCAAUGACAAGAACAAGGCUUCAAGAUAUCAAACUCUACACCUUCUAUAUGGAGCUAGAUUUGCAAAAGCCAUAUCCAACUCGAGGAAGUGACUUAUUGACAUGGGAGAGAACUUAUUGGUAACCAAGGACUUUGUGAAGAUAGCAAAUUUUGGCCUUGCUCGUGAAGUUCAUUCGAAGCCACCAUUCACAGAAUAGGUUUCAACACGCUGUUUACAAAUCUCAAGUACUCCAGAGUUGAAAUUGAUGAAAUGCAGUUCGAGUGGGCUGA
Zingiber officinale is the source of this 663-nucleotide long non-coding RNA. RefSeq lists it as uncharacterized. The record is from RefSeq and is a predicted model, not a curated record. NCBI's taxonomy places the organism in Eukaryota, Viridiplantae, Streptophyta, Magnoliopsida, Zingiberales, Zingiberaceae. The transcript is spliced from 5 exons.